GUGAAUCAUCGAAUCUUUGAACGCAAAUUGCACUCCCUGGUAUUCCGGGGAGUAUGCCUGUUUGAGGGUCGUUAAAAUAAAAAAGCGAUGCUUCGCUCUUUUUGUUUGGCGUGAUCGCGUCGGAGUUGAGCCGUCUUUCAAAUUGUAAGUCAUCUCAAAGUGUCUGAACGUUCAUCCAUCCCGUACUAGUAA
This 192-nucleotide unclassified non-coding RNA is filed under the name Glomeraceae sp. RNAcentral's name for it is "partial contains 5.8S ribosomal RNA and internal transcribed spacer 2". The stretch from base 1 to 71 matches the Rfam family "5.8S ribosomal RNA", at positions 84 to 154 of the family's 154-position model. Lineage: Eukaryota; Fungi; Glomeromycota; Glomeromycetes; Glomerales; Glomeraceae. The record is from RNAcentral.